Molecule: ribosomal RNA, 348 nt
Filed under: uncultured Streptococcus sp.
Lineage: Bacteria; Bacillati; Bacillota; Bacilli; Lactobacillales; Streptococcaceae
Description: bacterial SSU rRNA
Rfam family: Bacterial small subunit ribosomal RNA
Source: RNAcentral
GACAGGUGGUGCAUGGUUGUCGUCAGCUCGUGUCGUGAGAUGUUGGGUUAAGUCCCGCAACGAGCGCAACCCCUAUUGUUAGUUGCCAUCAUUCAGUUGGGCACUCUAGCGAGACUGCCGGUAAUAAACCGGAGGAAGGUGGGGAUGACGUCAAAUCAUCAUGCCCCUUAUGACCUGGGCUACACACGUGCUACAAUGGUUGGUACAACGAGUUGCGAGUCGGUGACGGCGAGCUAAUCUCUUAAAGCCAAUCUCAGUUCGGAUUGUAGGCUGCAACUCGCCUACAUGAAGUCGGAAUCGCUAGUAAUCGCGGAUCAGCACGCCGCGGUGAAUACGUUCCCGGGCCUU